AGUGAACGCUGGCGGUAGGCCUAACACAUGCAAGUCGAACGGCAGCACAGAGGAGCUUGCUCCUUGGGUGGCGAGUGGCAGACGGGUGAGGAAUACAUCGGAAUCUACUCUGUCGUGGGGGAUAACGUAGGGAAACUUACGCUAAUACCGCAUACGACCUACGGGUGAAAGCAGGGGAUCUUCGGACCUUGCGCGAUUGAAUGAGCCGAUGUCGGAUUAGCUAGUUGGCGGGGUAAAGGCCCACCAAGGCGACGAUCCGUAGCUGGUCUGAGAGGAUGAUCAGCCACACUGGAACUGAGACACGGACCAGACGCCUACGGGGGGCAGCAGUGGGGAAUGUUGGACAAUGGGCGCAAGCCUGAUUCAGCCAUACCGCGUGGGUGAAGAAGGCCUUCGGGUUGUAAAGCCCUUUUGUUGGGCAAGAAAUCCAUCUGGUUAAUACCCGGGUGGGAUGACGGUACCCAAAGAAUAAGCACCGGCUAACUUCGUGCCAGCCGCCGCCGUAA
RNAcentral lists this ribosomal RNA (506 nucleotides) under uncultured bacterium. Its description in RNAcentral is "partial 16S ribosomal RNA". It matches the Rfam family "Bacterial small subunit ribosomal RNA", at positions 29 to 523 of the family's 1533-position model. The record is from RNAcentral.